Molecule: long non-coding RNA, 404 nt
Organism: Oncorhynchus tshawytscha (Chinook salmon)
Lineage: Eukaryota; Metazoa; Chordata; Actinopteri; Salmoniformes; Salmonidae
Source: Ensembl
GAGUGAGCUGGUGAGGUAGGCUGGUUAAUAUAUAUACUGAACAGGGAUGGAGAGUGAGCUGGUGAGGUAGGCUGGACAAUACAUAUACUGAACAGGGAUGGAGAGUGAGCUGGUGAGGUAGGCUGGACAAUAAAUAUACUGAACAGGGAUGGAGAGUGAGCUGGUGAGGUAGACUGGACAAUAUAUAUACUGAACAGGGAUGGAGAGGGAGCUGGUGAGGUAGACUGCACAAUAUAUAUACUGAACAGGGAUGGAGAGUGAGCUGGUGAGGUAGGCUGGACAAUACAUAUACUGAACAGGGAUGGAGAGUGAGCUGGUGAGGUAGACUGAACAGGGAUGGAGAGUGAGCUGGUGAGGUAGACUGGUCAAUAUAUAUACUGAACAGGGAUGGAGAGUGAGCUGGU